RNAcentral lists this ribosomal RNA (497 nucleotides) under uncultured bacterium. RNAcentral describes it as "partial 16S ribosomal RNA". It matches the Rfam family "Bacterial small subunit ribosomal RNA", at positions 28 to 507 of the family's 1533-position model. The record is from RNAcentral.
GAUGAACGCUGGCGGCGUGCCUAAUACAUGCAAGUCGAGCGAACAGACGAGGAGCUUGCUCCUCUGACGUUAGCGGCGGACGGGUGAGUAACACGUGUAUAACCUACCUAUAAGACUGGGAUAACUUCGGGAAACCGGAGCUAAUACCGGAUAAUAUAUUGAACCGCAUUGUUCAAUAGUGAAAGACGGUUUUGCUGUCACUUAUAGCUGGAUCCGCGCCGCAUUAGCUAGUUGGUAAGGUAACAGCUUACCAAGGCAACGAUGCGUAGCCGACCUGCGAGGAUGGUCAGCCACCCUGGGACUGUGACACGGUCCAGACUCCUACGGGAGGCAGCAGUAGGGAAUCUGCAGCAAUGGGCGAAAGCCUGACGGAGCAACGCCGCGUGAGUGAUGAGGAUCUUCGGAUCGUAAAACUCUGUUAUUAGGGAGGAACCAGUGUUUAAGUAAGUAGGCACGUCAUGACGGUACCUGAGUAGAAAGCCACGGCUAACUUCGUG